UAACGCGUAAGCAACCUGCCCCAUACCGGGGGAUAGCCUGGCGAAAGCCGGGGUAAACCCGCAUAGUCCCUUUCUGUUUCAUGACAGGCCGGGUAAACAUUUAUGGGUAUGGGAGGGGCUUGCGUCUGAUUAGUUAGUUGGCGGGGUAACGGCCCACCAAGACAGUGAUCAGUAGGGGUUCUGAGAGGAUUGGCCCCCACAUGGGUACUGAGAUACGGACCCAACUCCUACGGGAGGCAGCAGUAGGGAAUAUUGGGCAAUGGAGGCAACUCUGACCCAGCCAUGCCGCGUGCAGGAUGAAGGCGCUCAGCGUCGUAAACUGCUUUUAUCUGGGAAGAACUGUGGUCCUGCGGGAUUAUUUGACGGUACCAGAGGAAUAAGCACCGGCUAACUCCGUGCCAGCAGCCGCGGUAAUACGGAGGGUGCAAGCGUUGUCCGGAUUUAUUGGGUUUAAAGGGUGCGCAGGUGGGUAUUUAAGUCUGGUUUGAAAGCAGGUGGCUCAACCAUCUGAUGUGGCUGGAAACUGGAUAUCUUGAAUGGGUUGGCGGUAGCCGGAAUGGGUCAUGUAGCGGUGAAAUGCAUAGAUAUGACCCGGAACACCGAUUGCGAAGG
Molecule: ribosomal RNA, 612 nt
Filed under: Spirosoma sp. T0-YC6745
Lineage: Bacteria; Pseudomonadati; Bacteroidota; Cytophagia; Cytophagales; Cytophagaceae
Description: bacterial SSU rRNA
Rfam family: Bacterial small subunit ribosomal RNA
Source: RNAcentral